This 254-nucleotide long non-coding RNA is filed under the name Elaeis guineensis (African oil palm). RNAcentral's name for it is "long non-coding RNA (EGUI_LNC080826)". Lineage: Eukaryota; Viridiplantae; Streptophyta; Magnoliopsida; Arecales; Arecaceae. The record is from RNAcentral.
UUGAUGUAGACAAGAUUCAUUGAUCUUCUAUGUUUAGUAAACAAUGUUCAAUAUCAUCAAUAAAAUGCAGCCUUAUCUCCUUAUCCCCAUCGGCUAAUUUAAAAAAAAUGUCCCAUAUCGAAAUCCCUUAAAUAACUUACCCCUCCAUGCUCUCCUUUUUUUUUCCAUCAUCACCCAUUGCUAGUAGACAAUAUCUGAGGUAAGUCCUAAACAAGCAACCCACUUAUACAGAUUGAAAGAUAUAGAACUUCUGG